UUGACCUCAAAUCAGGUAAGGAUACCCGCUGAACUUAAGCAUAUCAAUAAGCGGAGGAAAAGAAACCAACAGGGAUUGCCUUAGUAACGGCGAGUGAAGCGGCAAAAGCUCAAAUUUGAAAGCUAGCACCUUCGGUGUUCGCGUUGUAAUUUGAAGAUAGUUUCCUUGAGUAGUCCUUUAUCUAUGUUCCUUGAACAGGACGUCAUAGAGGUGAGACCCCGUAUGAUUUUGGAUACUACUCUUGUGGGAUCUAUCGAGAGUC
This 262-nucleotide ribosomal RNA is filed under the name uncultured eukaryote. RNAcentral describes it as "partial 28S ribosomal RNA". It matches the Rfam family "Eukaryotic large subunit ribosomal RNA", at positions 1 to 266 of the family's 3401-position model. The record is from RNAcentral.